RNAcentral lists this ribosomal RNA (551 nucleotides) under uncultured bacterium. RNAcentral's name for it is "partial 16S ribosomal RNA". It matches the Rfam family "Bacterial small subunit ribosomal RNA", at positions 355 to 895 of the family's 1533-position model. The record is from RNAcentral.
UGGGGAAUAUUGCACAAUGGGCGCAAGCCUGAUGCAGCCAUGCCGCGUGUGUGAAGAAGGCCUUCGGGUUGUAAAGCACUUUCAGCGAGGAGGAAGGUGGUGGACUUAAUACGUUCAUCAAUUGACGUUACUCGCAGAAGAAGCACCGGCUAACUCCGUGCCAGCAGCCGCGGUAAUACGGAGGGUGCAAGCGUUAAUCGGAAUUACUGGGCGUAAAGCGCACGCAGGCGGUUUGUUAAGUCAGAUGUGAAAUCCCCGGGCUCAACCUGGGAACUGCAUUUGAAACUGGCAAGCUAGAGUCUCGUAGAGGGGGGUAGAAUUCCAGGUGUAGCGGUGAAAUGCGUAGAGAUCUGGAGGAAUACCGGUGGCGAAGGCGGCCCCCCUGGACGAAGACUGACGCUCAGGUGCGAAAGCGUGGGGCAGCAAACAGGAUUAGAUACCCUGGUAGUCCAGCGCUGUAAACGAUGUCGAUUUGGAGGUUGUGCCCUUGAGGCGUGGCUUCCGGAGCUAACGCGUUAAAUCGACCGCCUGGGGAGUACGGCCGCAAGGUU